GAACUGCGAUAAGUAAUGUGAAUUGCAGAAUUCAGUGAAUCAUCGAGUCUUUGAACGCACAUUGCGCCCCCUGGCAUUCCGGGGGACAUGCCUGUCCGAGCGUCAUUGCUGCCCUUCAAGCCCGGCUUGUGUGUUGGGUCGUCGUCCCCUCCGGGGGACGGGCCCGAAAGGCAGCGGCGGCACCGCGUCCGGUCCUCGAGCGUAUGGGGCUUUGUCACCCGCUCGAUAAGGACCGGCCGGGCGCCAGCCGGCGUCUCCAACCUUUUUUUCUCAGGUUGACCUCGGAUCAGGUAGGGAUACCCGCUGAACUUAAGC
This 315-nucleotide unclassified non-coding RNA is filed under the name plant metagenome. RNAcentral describes it as "partial contains 5.8S ribosomal RNA, internal transcribed spacer 2, and large subunit ribosomal RNA". The stretch from base 1 to 105 matches the Rfam family "5.8S ribosomal RNA", at positions 50 to 154 of the family's 154-position model. The record is from RNAcentral.